ACCUGAUAAAGUCAAGCUACUUGGAAGGGUAUGACGCAAAGCUAUUAACCUAAGUCCUGAUUUACCGAACAUGGUCGUAAAGUCGUCAGA
RNAcentral lists this non-coding RNA (90 nucleotides) under Candidatus Scalindua. RNAcentral's name for it is "c-di-GMP sequence". It matches the Rfam family "c-di-GMP-I riboswitch aptamer". Rfam says of the family: GEMM was predicted in a large-scale screen for bacterial structured RNA regulatory elements. Genes associated with GEMM are involved in a diverse array of functions, including chemotaxis regulation, signal transduction, secretion and chitin. RNAcentral also lists the same sequence under 1 other name. Lineage: Bacteria; Pseudomonadati; Planctomycetota; Candidatus Brocadiia; Candidatus Brocadiales; Candidatus Scalinduaceae. The record is from RNAcentral.